ACGCUCGACACCUACGGGGGGCAGCAGUGGGGAAUAUUGCACAAUGGGGGAAACCCUGAUGCAGCGACGCCGCGUGAGCGAAGAAGUAUCUCGGUAUGUAAAGCUCUAUCAGCAGGGAAGAAGAUGACGGUACCUGACUAAGAAGCACCGGCUAAAUACGUGCCAGCAGCCGCGGUAAUCUGAGGCGGGCUGGCAAGGC
This 199-nucleotide ribosomal RNA is filed under the name uncultured bacterium. Its description in RNAcentral is "partial 16S ribosomal RNA". It matches the Rfam family "Bacterial small subunit ribosomal RNA", at positions 328 to 539 of the family's 1533-position model. The record is from RNAcentral.